UGGCAGCGGUAGAUACGGGAGUCAGAGGUAUGAAAGUGCAUCAGAAAGCUCUCCCUUUUUUGCGGACGUGAAGAGCGGGUACCUCUCUACCGACGAAAAUGGCUACGUGAGCCAGAGGGGGGAAGGAACUGACAUUUUCGUUCCUCC
RNAcentral lists this non-coding RNA (147 nucleotides) under Paramoeba aestuarina. The record is from RNAcentral. Lineage: Eukaryota; Discosea; Flabellinia; Dactylopodida; Paramoebidae.